Molecule: ribosomal RNA, 231 nt
Filed under: uncultured Methanosarcinales archaeon
Lineage: Archaea; Methanobacteriati; Methanobacteriota; Methanomicrobia; Methanosarcinales
Description: partial 16S ribosomal RNA
Rfam family: Archaeal small subunit ribosomal RNA
Source: RNAcentral
UGACGGCAAGGGACGAAAGCUAGGGGCACGAACCGGAUUAGAUACCCGGGUAGUCCUAGCCGUAAACGAUACUCGCUAGGUGUCGGCCACGGUGUGACCGUGGUCGGUGCCGUAGGGAAGCCGUGAAGCGAGCCACCUGGGAAGUACGGCCGCAAGGCUGAAACUUAAAGGAAUUGGCGGGGGAGCACUACAACGGGUGGAGCUUGCGGUUUAAUUGGAUUCAACGCCGGA